RNAcentral lists this transfer RNA (73 nucleotides) under candidate division WOR-1 bacterium RIFCSPHIGHO2_02_FULL_45_12. RNAcentral describes it as "tRNA-Val". It matches the Rfam family "tRNA". From Rfam's summary of the family: Transfer RNA (tRNA) molecules are approximately 80 nucleotides in length. Their secondary structure includes four short double-helical elements and three loops (D, anti-codon, and T loops). RNAcentral also lists the same sequence under 2 other names. The record is from RNAcentral. Lineage: Bacteria; Bacillati.
GGGCGAGUAUUUCAGCGGCUAGAAGGCCUCGCUUACACCGAGGAGGUCACAGGUUCGAAUCCUGUCUCGCCCA